GAGCCUUAACAGUGCUUGCAGAGUUUGCUGUACAAUUAGUGCUGCUCUGGGGCUGGGUCAAAGUUCUCAGCACUUGACAGGACAAAGCCUCUAAGGCCUGUGUCGUUUUCAGCCCUUUAUUUGCUGCAGCUGCUCAGUCAGGUGGCUUUUGCAUCUUCCAGAGGUUUCUCAUUUAAAAAAUGUUCUUAGGAGGAGGUCAGAGUAAGAGACCUGUAUUUGUGCUGCAUUGCUGGCCCAGGCUAUGGGAUGUGAUAGUCUAAUUCUCUGCUUGACUUGAGCAUGAACUUUGAUCUCCAAGACCAAAGAGAGGGGAUAAAGCCGAGCACAGAAGAGGAAGGAGUUUUUUUCUGAGUUUAGACACAUCAAGAUACAGAGAUGUCAACAGGAAUGACAUCCUGAUCAAAACAAGUGCACGUGCGUGUCCCCUCAAGUUUGGUUCACGAACAAAGAGCGAUCUGAAAAUCCGACACAUUCCUUCCGACAACUCCCACUCAGCUCUGCCUCCAAAUGCAUUUUACAUAUUUUUGCUUACAGACGCAAUGCUAUCAUCUCUCAACUCAUCAGAAAGUGAAGGAAACAAACCUCUAGAGGAGUGCUUGGAAUGAGCAAAAUAGAGCCAGCAAAAACACCCAUCAUCAGGGAAAAAAAUCAUGUUGGAAAUUAUGGACAGAACAAAACUUUAUGGAAGAAAAUCAAUGUCACUAUAAAUACACGUGAAGAUCCCAGCAUAUUAGUAACAGUCACAGAUGUGCCUCACCUCCUGUCAGAAAGACAAACAGCUGAUGAAGAUGGUCAUGACAAGCAAGAAGAACGAUGGGAGAGGGAACGGGAUAAUCUAGUAGCUUGGACUAACUCUCUGUCUAACAAAAGAUUAAGUGAUUAAAUCAGAGAGGCUGCAUGUACAGAUAAGUCCUUUAUUAUUUUUAAAUAUCUCACGUUUUUUUUUCUUACAAUUCCUACCAGGCAAAUCUUCAGUUCACUGCUUGUUUUGUUUAUUUAUUUGUUUUUCAGCAUGGUGCUUCGGUUAGAGAUUGAGUAGGAAUGGAAUAAGGAUCUGUUCUGUGCAUGCAGGCCUGGCGUUUUAUCAGGAUUUAUGCCCUCCCCUAGUCCUUGGUGGUCUGUUGCUGUAAUUUUUUGAAUCUUAUUACCUAAAUAGCUUGGUGUCUUUAGGUAUUGUAACCUCUGCUGGUACUACAGCACUGACAGAUGUAGCCAAUCCUAUGAAGAAACAUCUAGUUCUGAAUGCACAGAACAAAAUAUCUGUUGAGCGAGAAGAUGUUGUUACUUGUUUCAGAAUCAGACUAUGUAUUCGGAACUGAAAAACCAAUAAUGUUAUUUUUGCACUCCAGCGUUAAAUUAGAUCUUGUGUUCUUUUGGUCUGUGUACUGUAUAUGAAAUGUGUGAAUGUGGCCUAUUGUUGUUUUUCUGAAAGAACUGUACUCACCUCUUAUCUCUGCCAGGCUUAUCAGCUGCAGCCAUCACUAAGUAAUUAACACAGCUGUGUUUAGACCUAUAGAAAGGGCAAAUGACAUGUAGGUAGACAGGACAGUAGAGAUUCCUACAGCUUGGAUCCAAGCUCAGGUUUCAAGAGGCAGCCUGGUACACUCAUUAAGUAAGCCAGAGCCAUGUGAUUACAAAGUCCACAGGAUCACAUUCACAGAUCUCUGAGAUUACAAAAGAAACACUUUCACAAUCUUCAGGGCACUGGCUUCUUCGCAUGUCUGUACACUGCCUAAUGAGAGAUGUAAGUGUGCUUUAAUACUUGUACACUUUGUCCCAGGGAAAAAAUAAACCUCAGGACUGGAGCAUAAUGAUGACAGACGAGAGUACUAUGGUGUAGGAAUCCAUUAGAAAUGUUGGUUGUGUAAUUAAACUUCAAAAAUACUUCUUAGCAGAAUGUAUAGAGAUAAGAAGAUAUGAAUGUCAGACCUCUGAAACCUGUUCUCAAGCUGACACAGCAGGCAAGCAGGGCGGCUAUCAUAAAACAACCCUAUUCCACGGCCAGGGCUCUGUGUGUGUAACACACAUGACAUUUCUUCUCACUAACAGUCAUCUUGGGAUUUUUAUGACUAGGAGGAUGGUCCUGAAAGAAUAAAAACAUCGAAAACUGUAUUAUAUCUAUAUACAGCCAUGCCUGUAGGCACUGCAGUCUUUACGAAGAGAGCACAGGACUGAAGAAUAGAUAACCUGUCAUCUCUCCACAGCUGUGCUGCUACGAUGUGACCGUGAUCAAGUCUUUUCACCUUCCUAAGACUUCUUUCUCAUUUGACCUCUCCCGUCUGUGAGGGCAGUAAAGGUACAGAGUUUGUUUC
Long non-coding RNA from Cygnus atratus (black swan), 2312 nucleotides. RefSeq lists it as uncharacterized. NCBI's taxonomy places the organism in Eukaryota, Metazoa, Chordata, Aves, Anseriformes, Anatidae. The record is from RefSeq and is a predicted model, not a curated record. The transcript has 4 exons.